GAGAGAACUUUCUGCACAACAUAACUCUGCUCUGCAUUUGGUAAAAUCCAGUGUGCAUCUCGGAAGGCAUUCAUUACUCCAUCUAGCCAUGUAAGCUGGUGAAGAGAUCGUUCCAAGCAACAAUAAUAGAAAUGGCAUGAUUUCUCUCCCCCCACCCCGUGCAAAUCUGAAGCGACACAGUCCAAAAAGAAGUCUCACCCAGAAUGAAUCAAGGAGGGGAACGUAAAUAUGGAGAGAGUGGAAAGAUGCACUGGAAAAUUUGAAGAAUCCAGUAUUGUACCUGUGGAUUGGCAGCAUUGCUGGCAAGACGGUCGUGGAACUACAGGGAAAGUGUGUCAUCACCACCACUAAGAAUUAAACAGCUAUACCAGAUCAUGGACACCCUGGUUCUCUGCUUAGGCAGUGGUGAUUAAUGGAUCCAGAAGGAUUCCGGAGAGAAUGUUGAGAUUUUCCCAGCAAGUGACAAUAUGGUGGGCAGUUUCAU
Non-coding RNA from Python bivittatus (Burmese python), 484 nucleotides. The record is from RefSeq and is a predicted model, not a curated record. NCBI's taxonomy places the organism in Eukaryota, Metazoa, Chordata, Lepidosauria, Squamata, Pythonidae.